UACGAAGGGGGCUAGCGUUGUUCGGAAUUACUGGGCGUAAAGCGCACGUAGGCGGAUUGGCAAGUCAGGGGUGAAAUCCCGGAGCUCAACUUCGGAACUGCCUUUGAUACUGCCUGUCUAGAGUCCGGAAGAGGUGGGUGGAAUUCCUAGUGUAGAGGUGAAAUUCGCAGAUAUUAGGAAGAACACCGGUGGCGAAGGCGGCCCACUGGUCCGGUACUGACGCUGAGGUGCGAAAGCGUGGGGAGCAAACAGG
This 253-nucleotide ribosomal RNA is filed under the name uncultured bacterium. Its description in RNAcentral is "partial 16S ribosomal RNA". It matches the Rfam family "Bacterial small subunit ribosomal RNA", at positions 524 to 776 of the family's 1533-position model. The record is from RNAcentral.